This 1376-nucleotide long non-coding RNA is filed under the name Mus pahari (shrew mouse). RNAcentral's name for it is "lncRNA (MGP_PahariEiJ_G0005183.1)". The record is from RNAcentral. Lineage: Eukaryota; Metazoa; Chordata; Mammalia; Rodentia; Muridae.
AGCUUUGCUGAUGUUGGUUUCCCUGAGAGAGGCACAGGAACUUCUCCUGAAGUUCCUCCUGAUCCCUCCUGCUGACUGGAGCCCAGGCGGCCUGGCUGUCUCUGCUAGGUCUUGUCAUCACUGUUGCUAACUAACCCAAGACUACCGAACUGGACUGCUGGUGUAUCCAUGAAGUGCUUGUGAGUGGAUCGAGCUGUGGCUGCCUGCUAACCUGUGAACUGAACUGCUGAUUUCCAGACGACAGGAGUUGCUCCAAAGAACCUUUCUAAACAGAUCCACUCUCCCCCCCCACCCCUGUAUCCUGUCAUGGUGUCUGUUCAUAGCAAUGGAAGACUUUUAGCUAAGACAACAUGUGACGAGCAAAGACUGACAGAGAGAGUGGAAUGGAGAUGUGCCCUGGUUGUAUUGACGAAGUUCAUCAGACAGUUUGUGGAGAGACCCGAUAUUAGUUUUCACCAGGCCGGCGUCAUUGAUUUCGUAAUAGUAUUCCUCUUCCAUAAACAUGUAGGUGCCUCCCUCGUCUUCCUUGAGGACGUCCAAUGUUCUCUGGUUCUGCAUGGCCACCCUGGGCCUAGCUGCUUUGGACCUAGCAGAUUUGGAGGGAACACCCAAACUUGGCAGGAUGUACGUAUUAGGGACAGAAGAUAAAGUUGAGUUUGGGGAGAAAAGGAUUUCCCCCAUGUGUACACUUACAACCUUUAGGUCCUGGGAGUUCCAAGACCAGGGGGGGGGGAAGAGACCCCACCCUCAGGAACAGGCAGGUAACACCGCUAUGUGGGACUGGUGGCCAUCCUGUUGAACCCAGUGCAGAUGGGUCUCUGCUACUAAGUGCUUCCAAGCACAGACCGGGACUUGAACUGUCCAUCCCUCACCUGGAGUCUGUCGGGGAAUCUUUUCGGAAGAUGCCUACAUGGAGGUGGGAGAAGGUCCUAUACUAAUACGGUCUUAAGUCGGCCUCUUUACUCCUUUGAACUCGGCAAGAAGAUGCAGAAGAUGCAAGUGGACACUCAGCCCUAUAAGACCAAGUCCGCACACUUGAAGGCAUUUUCUGGUUGUCCAAGUUGGCUUUCAGGGCUGACCAAAGGGCCCAGUUCUGGGGACACAAAGAACAGUGCAGAGGGGCUUACAGACAGAGGCAAUGGGUCGUCGAGAGUGCAGUCACCGUGGACAGAGAGUCGUCAGAGCCCAGAAGCUACUAUAGACCAAGCCAGGACUGCGGUGGCCCCAGUGGCGUGUACAAGAUUCCAUCUGGCCAGCUCUGCAUCUUUUUUCUAUCCCAUUACUUACUGUGAGACAUGGUUGGUUAGUGGGAACCGUCAUUGUAAAUCAAGUUUCUUUAGAUAAAGAAAAAAGUACAAAGUUACUUUGAGACCUGU